UAUAAGAAGCUUAGUGGUCAGAGCGCCUCGGUCGGGUUCCAGGAGGCGCGGGUUCCAGUCCCGCUAUUAUUG
RNAcentral lists this transfer RNA (72 nucleotides) under Heliconius melpomene (postman butterfly). RNAcentral describes it as "tRNA HMEL005307". It matches the Rfam family "tRNA". From Rfam's summary of the family: Transfer RNA (tRNA) molecules are approximately 80 nucleotides in length. Their secondary structure includes four short double-helical elements and three loops (D, anti-codon, and T loops). The record is from RNAcentral. Lineage: Eukaryota; Metazoa; Arthropoda; Insecta; Lepidoptera; Nymphalidae.